Molecule: ribosomal RNA, 253 nt
Filed under: uncultured bacterium
Lineage: Bacteria
Description: partial 16S ribosomal RNA
Rfam family: Bacterial small subunit ribosomal RNA
Source: RNAcentral
UACGAAGGGGGCUAGCGUUGUUCGGAUUUACUGGGCGUAAAGCGCAUGUAGGCGGACCUUUAAGUUGGGGGUGAAAUCCCGGGGCUCAACUUCGGAACUGCCUCUAAUACUGGAGGUCUCGAGAACGGAAGAGGUGAGUGGAAUUCCGAGUGUAGAGGUGAAAUUCGUAGAUAUUAGGAAGAACACCAGUGGCGAAGGCGGCUCACUGGUCCGGUUCUGACGAUGAGGUGCGAAAGCGUGGGGAGCAAACAGG